UACGGGGGGUGCGAGCGUUGUCCGGAAUCACUGGGCGUAAAGGGCGCGUAGGUGGCGUGAUAAGGGUGUGGUGAAAGCCCGGGGCUCAACCCCGGGUCUGCCAUGCCGACUGUCAGGCUAGAGUACUGUAGGGGCAGACGGAAUUCCGGGUGUAGCGGUGGAAUGCGUAGAGAUCCGGAGGAAGACCGGUGGCGAAGGCGGCUCACUGGCCAGUUUCUGACGCUGCAGCGCGAAAGCGUGGGGAUCAAACAGG
This 253-nucleotide ribosomal RNA is filed under the name uncultured bacterium. Its description in RNAcentral is "partial 16S ribosomal RNA". It matches the Rfam family "Bacterial small subunit ribosomal RNA", at positions 524 to 776 of the family's 1533-position model. The record is from RNAcentral.